AUCGAACGCUGGCGGCAGGCCUAACACAUGCAAGUCGAACGAGUGGCGGACGGGUGAGUAACGCCUGGGCAACCGCCUGUUGGUGGGGGAUCAUUACUGGAAACGGUAGCCAAUACCGUAUACCAUCAUAUGAGCCCAGAUGGGAUUAGCUAGUUGGUGGGGUAACGGCUCACCAAGGCGACGAUCCCUAGCUGGUCUGAGAGGAUGACCAGCCACCCUGGAACUGAGCCACGGUCCAGACUCCUACGGGAGGCAGCAGUGGGGAAUAUUGCACAAUGGGCGCAAGCCUGAUGCAGCCAUGCCGCGUGUAUGAAGAAGGCCUUCGGGUUGUAAAGUACUUUCAGCGGGGAGGCGUUACCCGCAGAAGAAGCACCGGCUAACUCCGUGCCAGCAGCCGCGGUAAUUC
Molecule: ribosomal RNA, 406 nt
Filed under: uncultured bacterium
Lineage: Bacteria
Description: partial 16S ribosomal RNA
Rfam family: Bacterial small subunit ribosomal RNA
Source: RNAcentral